Populus euphratica (Euphrates poplar) is the source of this 227-nucleotide long non-coding RNA. RefSeq lists it as uncharacterized. The transcript is spliced from 3 exons. The record is from RefSeq and is a predicted model, not a curated record. NCBI's taxonomy places the organism in Eukaryota, Viridiplantae, Streptophyta, Magnoliopsida, Malpighiales, Salicaceae.
CGGCCAAUUCAUGGCAGGGUGACAACGCACACUGGCGGCUCCGUUCCAUUUGCUGCAUAUGCGAAACGGAUGGCUGCGUCUCUUGGACGUGAGCCGAGCCUGAUGGAGCUGUUUGUGGAGACGCACAUGCGGAGUCAAGACCGCCAGAAGGGGGUGCAAUAGUUCGUUGAUAACCGUGCUCAACAUUUCGUGGAGACCUAUAAUAAUCGGUUGAGGGAGAGAUAUGG